CACGUAGGAGGCGAGCGUUGUCCGGAAUCAUUGGGCGUAAAGAGCGCGCAGGCGGCUUGGCAAGUCGGGUGUGAAAUCCCGGGGCUCAACCCCGGGACUGCAUUCGAUACUGUCAGGCUAGAGGUAGGUAGGGGAGAUCGGAAUUCCUGGUGUAGCGGUGAAAUGCGCAGAUAUCAGGAGGAACACCGGUGGCGAAGGCGGAUCUCUGGGCCUUACCUGACGCUCAGGCGCGAAAGCUAGGGGAGCGAACAGGAUUAGAUACCCUGGUAGUCCUAGCCGUAAACGUUGGGUGCUAGGUGUGGGCGGAUAUCAACCCCGUCCGUGCCGAAGCUAACGCAUUAAGCACCCCGCCUGGGGAGUACGGCCGCAAGGCUAAA
Molecule: ribosomal RNA, 377 nt
Filed under: uncultured bacterium
Lineage: Bacteria
Description: bacterial SSU rRNA
Rfam family: Bacterial small subunit ribosomal RNA
Source: RNAcentral